GAUGAACGCUGGCGGCGUGCCUAACACAUGCAAGUCGAACGAGAAGUGAAGACGGAAACCUUCGGGCGGAAGGCUUUAUUUCGAGUGGCGGACGGGUGAGUAACGCGUGGGUAACCUGCCUCAUACAGGGGGAUAACAGUUGGAAACGACUGUUAAUACCGCAUAAGACCACAGCACCGCAUGGUGCGGGGGUAAAAACUCCGGUGGUAUGAGAUGGACCCGCGUUCGAUUAGCCAGUUGGCGGGGUAACGGCCCACCAAAGCGACGAUCGAUAGCCGAUCUGAGAGGAUGACCGGCCACAUUGGGACUGAGACACGGCCCAAACUCCUACGGGAGGCAGCAGUGGGGAAUAUUGCACAAUGGGGGAAACCCUGAUGCAGCGACGCCGCGUGAGUGAAGAAGUAUUUCGGUAUGUAAAGCUCUAUCAGCAGGGAAGAAAAUGACGGUACCUGAGUAAGAAGCCCCGGCUAACUACGUG
This 478-nucleotide ribosomal RNA is filed under the name uncultured bacterium. RNAcentral describes it as "partial 16S ribosomal RNA". It matches the Rfam family "Bacterial small subunit ribosomal RNA", at positions 28 to 507 of the family's 1533-position model. The record is from RNAcentral.